This 550-nucleotide ribosomal RNA is filed under the name uncultured bacterium. Its description in RNAcentral is "bacterial SSU rRNA". It matches the Rfam family "Bacterial small subunit ribosomal RNA", at positions 355 to 896 of the family's 1533-position model. The record is from RNAcentral.
UAGGGAAUCUUCCACAAUGGACGCAAGUCUGAUGGAGCAACGCCGCGUGAGUGAAGAAGGCUUUCGGGUCGUAAAACUCUGUUGUUGGAGAAGAAUGGUCGGCAGAGUAACUGUUGUCGGCGUGACGGUAUCCAACCAGAAAGCCACGGCUAACUACGUGCCAGCAGCCGCGGUAAUACGUAGGUGGCAAGCGUUAUCCGGAUUUAUUGGGCGUAAAGCGAGCGCAGGCGGUUUUUUAAGUCUGAUGUGAAAGCCCUCGGCUUAACCGAGGAAGUGCAUCGGAAACUGGAAAACUUGAGUGCAGAAGAGGACAGUGGAACUCCAUGUGUAGCGGUGAAAUGCGUAGAUAUAUGGAAGAACACCAGUGGCGAAGGCGGCUGUCUGGUCUGUAACUGACGCUGAGGCUCGAAAGCAUGGGUAGCGAACAGGAUUAGAUACCCUGGUAGUCCAUGCCGUAAACGAUGAAUGCUAGGUGUUGGAGGGUUUCCGCCCUUCAGUGCCGCAGCUAACGCAUUAAGCAUUCCGCCUGGGGAGUACGACCGCAAGGUUG